GAUGACUCUCGGCAACGGAUAUCUUGGCUCUUGCAUCGAUGAAGAACGCAGCGAAAUGUGAUAAGUGGUGUGAAUUGCAGAAUCCCGUGAACCAUCGAAGUCUUUGAACGCAAGUUGCGCCUGAGGCCAUCAGGCUAAGGGCACGCCUGCCUGGGCGUCGUGU
RNAcentral lists this ribosomal RNA (163 nucleotides) under Cypripedium wumengense. RNAcentral's name for it is "5.8S ribosomal RNA subunit". It matches the Rfam family "5.8S ribosomal RNA". Rfam says of the family: 5.8S ribosomal RNA (5.8S rRNA) is a component of the large subunit of the eukaryotic ribosome. It is transcribed by RNA polymerase I as part of the 45S precursor that also contains 18S and 28S rRNA. Lineage: Eukaryota; Viridiplantae; Streptophyta; Magnoliopsida; Asparagales; Orchidaceae. The record is from RNAcentral.